Molecule: ribosomal RNA, 460 nt
Filed under: uncultured bacterium
Lineage: Bacteria
Description: partial 16S ribosomal RNA
Rfam family: Bacterial small subunit ribosomal RNA
Source: RNAcentral
CCUACGGGAGGCAGCAGUGAGGAAUAUUGGUCAAUGGACGAGAGUCUGAACCAGCCAAGUAGCGUGAAGGAUGACUGCCCUAUGGGUUGUAAACUUCUUUUAUAUAGGAAUAAAAUGUUCCACGUGUGCGUUUUUGUAUGUACCAUAUGAAUAAGGAUCGGCUAACUCCGUGCCAGCAGCCGCGGUAAUACGGAGGAUCCGAGCGUUAUCCGGAUUUAUUGGGUUUAAAGGGAGCGUAGGUGGAUUGUUAAGUCAGUUGUGAAAGUUUGCGGCUCAACCGUAAAAUUGCAGUUGAAACUGGCAGUCUUGAGUACAGUAGAGGUGGGCGGAAUUCGUGGUGUAGCGGUGAAAUGCUUAGAUAUCACGAAGAACUCCGAUUGCGAAGGCAGCUCACUGGACUGCAACUGACACUGAGGCUCGAAAGUGUGGGUAUCAAACAGGAUUAGAUACCCCUGUAGUC